UACGGAGGGGACUAGCGUUGUUCGGAAUUACUGGGCGUAAAGCGCACGUAGGCGGAUUUGUUAGUCAGGGGUGAAAUCCCGAGGCUCAACCUCGGAACUGCCUUUGAUACUGCAAAUCUCGAGUCCGGAAGAGGUGAGUGGAAUUCCUAGUGUAGAGGUGAAAUUCGUAGAUAUUAGGAAGAACACCAGUGGCGAAGGCGGCUCACUGGUCCGGUACUGACGCUGAGGUGCGAAAGCGUGGGGAGCAAGCAGG
RNAcentral lists this ribosomal RNA (253 nucleotides) under uncultured bacterium. Its description in RNAcentral is "partial 16S ribosomal RNA". It matches the Rfam family "Bacterial small subunit ribosomal RNA", at positions 524 to 776 of the family's 1533-position model. The record is from RNAcentral.